AACUUCCGCCAUGGACGAAAGCCCGACGGCGCCCCGCCCGCUGAUUGGUUGAGGUCUUCCGGUCGUUAAACUACGUUGUUCAGGGAAAACAAGUAUUGUCCUAAUAGGAGGGUAUGCUGACGGUAUCUGACGAAUAAGCCCCGGCUAACUACGUGCCAGCAGCCGCGGUAAUACGUAGGGUGCAAGCGUUAAUCGGAAUUACUGGGCGUAAAGCGCGCGUAGGCGGUUUCGUAAGAAUGAUGUGAAAGCCCACGGCUCAACCGUGGAAGGGCAUUGGAAACUGGGAAGCUAGAGUACAGAAGAGGAGAGUGGAAUUCCAUGUGUAGCAGUGAAAUGCGUAGAUAUAUGGAGGAACACCAAUGGCGAAGGCAACCUUCUGGAAUGUAACUGACGCUGAGGUACGAAAGCGUGGGUAGCAAACA
Molecule: ribosomal RNA, 422 nt
Filed under: uncultured bacterium
Lineage: Bacteria
Description: partial 16S ribosomal RNA
Rfam family: Bacterial small subunit ribosomal RNA
Source: RNAcentral